GGCCUAUGCGUGUUAAUGCAUCAGAGGGACUUUAGUGGGAACUUGGGACCACACAGGAAGGAUACUGCUGCUCAGCAUUUGUCCUUGGUAAGCAGAAGCCUUAUAGGACAGAGGCCUAACUCCUAAGUGUGCCUUCUCACCACGGAAGUGGGUUUUAAUGAGGCCCAGGGUGAGGCUGUCAACACUAAAAAGCAUCGCCACAGGAACCUUGUCAUUCAAGGCCACCGGAAGACCUUUCCCCUCCAACCUGGGACCCCAUCAAAAAUCUGGGUUGGUUUCCCCACUGAGGAAGACACACUGCACUGCAGGUAGGGGCUCAUAAACAUUUAAGGAAAGAUGGAAAAUGACCUGAUAACAUAGAAAUCUUGAAUUACUGAUUUCAGUUUUAUACCACCUGAAAUUAAGUGUUGUGUUCAUGUUUUACAUUUGGAAGUUGUGUGUGUGUGUGUGUGUGUGUAGUGUAUGAAAAAAGAUACUGAUUGUAUAUAUAUAUGGUAGUUAGGUUCUUAGUUUUCAAUACUUUUUUCUUGUGAUAAGAUUAUUCCUUAUAUACAACGUCCUAUUCCUGUUAUAAGUGAAAUAUGCAUACUUCAAUUUUGAGGAUGUUGAUUUGAUUGAUCUCAAAUUCCUUCUCUAUUCUCCAAUUAACUUUGUUUUUCUUUGUCUGUGUGAGUACCUGCAUAUGUGUAUAUAUUCAUUAUAUGAUUGUACAGAGAGAUUAUUUUCUUACUCAAAGAAAAUUGCAUUCAAUUUAAAAACUGAGUUGCCUGUCUCUCUAUACAAAGAAUGGAGAUGUUGGCACACCUUUCAUGUCUGUCUUCUGUAUUUUCAGAUCAUCUUGCAUCUUGGUGUUAGCUGUAUAUACAAAGACUUGUCAGCCUGCUGCUUCAUGGUCAGGAGGGUUGGCUGAACAGCCAUUGCAGCACUUCUGAGUUCACAGGACUGCAACCAUUCUAACAGAGGUGAGAUGUCUGUUGGCAACUGGUCUUUACCAGGACCUGUGGAAUAUUAUCUCUUUUCCAGUCUCAUGUAUGAUGCAAGGGGCCCUUGAGACUCCAAGAGUGAAAAAAGGACUUCUGAUCUAGACAGAGCUUGGUUUACACCGACUCCGACUUCUCUCCCUUUGGAAGACCAAUCAGAGUUGCUCUGAGUCGUCUGCCCAGGCCUCCUGCUUGUCGGGCUCUUUUGUUGGUGGUGUUCAUUAAGCACCCCUCUACUCUAGCUCUCUCCACUGCGCCAUCCGGAGGGCUCUCUAGACAUAAACUCCAGCCGCACAGGAGAUACGGUGCCAGGAAGGGAAGGUCAUUUCUGGCCUAGCUGAGCAGAGCAGAAGGAGCGCCCUCAUUUUGCAGAAGGGCAGUCGGCUCCCUUGACUCUCAGGAGGGCCAGGAGCCCUGGGUUUCUACCUCUGGGCACUUCUCGUUUUGUUUUGGGCCUCCUUUUCUGACCAGUGUUGCUUUUUUUCUCUCACUUCUACUACUCUGUCCCCUCUGAACUCUGGUCUCUCCCUGGGUCAAGUCAACAGCUAAGAAAGCUCUCUCACACCUCCCUUUUUUCCUUAUGGUGGAAUCUGAAGGACCUGCACUAAAAGAUUUCAGAGACUGGGAAGGAAAUGUUUCUACUUCCACAUGAAUCUUUUAAUAAGUUGAUUAGUGAAGAGUUGAAUUCUGAUAGGAAGAACUGAUUUCUCUAGACUGUUCACUCACACAUGUAGGGUCUUUUGUCCCUGUCCCUGCUUACAGCUCCAGCGUAUUUUAAAACCUCUUCUCUGUUUUGAGUAUUUCUAAAAUCCAUUUAACACUUAAGUUUCACAGUUAACAUUUCUUGUCUGCUCUAUCCAAAGUCAAGUUGAGCUCACUGCUCAGGGAAGUGUUUGUGCAUGUGUGUGCUGGUGCAUGUGUGUACAGGUGUGAAGGGAGGGGCUAGUUUUCCAUGAUUCCUUUACCUCUUCUCUCUGCUACGUCCCACUUCCUAAGGAAAGGGAAGUGAAAUUUAAGAAAAAAGGACAGAAGGCUUGUCGGCAGGUGCUAUGAGCAUCUGGCCGUGGUGGUGCCCUCUCCUUCACCGUCUACCCCAGCCUGUCUCCUGCCUCGGGAGUGCACAAGAAAAGCAGAAGAUCCUGGCUUCUGUAUUGGUGCUGUGCACCCUCUAAACCCCAGCACACACUCAUCACACCUGGAUGGACUGUCCUGGCUCAGCAGCGGUGCCAACUGAAACAGCCGAGAUUCUGCAGCCCAGCCUCAGCACACUUGCUGAGUGUGACUUUGGUUGUACCGAGGACAAUUCAACUCAGUCUAUUGAGAGGCCCUCUCAAGUGGGUUGACAUGGGGGAACAAACCUGCCCCAUGGAAGGAGAAAAGCCAGGACAUUUCCCCACAGACCCUUUCUACUGUAGCAGUUCUUUCUCAUUUACAGAUUCCUCUACAUUUCUAGUCUUUGCUUUACAGAAGCCAAUGAAUUGCAUGCAUAGAUGCUAACUGGCUAGAGGGGCCCAAGAUUGAUUUUACUAUCUUUUAUUAAACUCUGGAAGGCAGAUGUGGUAAUUCUCAGACGGUGUCUUUAUAAUGUAGGGACAAUCUCAUGCGUGUUCCUAACUUUGGGGUUGAGAAAUGAGGAAAAUCUCAUUUAACAUUCUAUUAAUCUUCUAUUUUACCUUGUUUGUAUUCCUAAACCCAACAUAAUGCAUGCCACAUCAGAGGAAUUUAUUAAAUGUUUAUUUAAUGGAAUAGUGGGUGUAUGAAAGAACAAGUGAUCAACUACUAAACAAAAGUGAGGGGGAAGGAAGGUCAUUCUGGUACAGUGUCUUAAAGUCAUUGUAUUAGGGGCCGGUGCUGUGGCAUAGCAGGUAAAGCUGCUGCCUGCAGUGCCAGCAUCCCAUAUGGGUGCUGGUUCAAGUCCCAGAUGCUCCAUUACCGAUCCAGCUCUCUGCUAUGGCCUGGUAAAGCAGUAGAAGAUGACCCAAGUCCUUGGGCCCCUGCACCCACAUGGGAGACCAGGAAGAAGUUCCUGGCUCCUGGCUUCAGAUUGGCACAAGCUAUGGCUGUUGUGGCCAUUUAGGGAGUGAAUCAGUGGAUGGACAAUCUCUCUCUUUCUCUGACUCUUCUUCUCUGUGUAACUCUGACUUUUAAAUAAAUAAAAUAAAUCUUUAAAAAAAUCA
Oryctolagus cuniculus (rabbit) is the source of this 3157-nucleotide long non-coding RNA. NCBI's taxonomy places the organism in Eukaryota, Metazoa, Chordata, Mammalia, Lagomorpha, Leporidae. The record is from Ensembl.